This 148-nucleotide non-coding RNA is filed under the name Gorilla gorilla gorilla (western lowland gorilla). Lineage: Eukaryota; Metazoa; Chordata; Mammalia; Primates; Hominidae. The record is from Rfam by way of RNAcentral.
GUUGGGCGUGGUAGUGCGUGCCUGUAAUCCCAGCUACUAGGGAGACUGAGGCAGGAGAAUUGCUUGAACCCAGGAGGUGGAGGUUGCAGUGAGCCGAGAUCGUGACACUGCACUCCAGCCUGGGUGAGAGAGCAAGACUUUGUCUCAA